RNAcentral lists this ribosomal RNA (274 nucleotides) under uncultured bacterium. RNAcentral's name for it is "partial 16S ribosomal RNA". It matches the Rfam family "Bacterial small subunit ribosomal RNA", at positions 523 to 796 of the family's 1533-position model. The record is from RNAcentral.
AUACGGAGGGUCCAAGCGUUAUCCGGAAUCAUUGGGUUUAAAGGGUUCGCAGGCGGUUCAUUAAGUCAGUGGUGAAAUCUCUCGGCUCAACCGAGAAACUGCCAUUGAUACUGAUGGACUUGAAUAUAGUUGGAGUAGGCGGAAUGUGUAGUGUAGCGGUGAAAUGCUUAGAUAUUACACAGAACACCGAUAGCGAAGGCAGCUUACUAAACUAUUAUUGACGCUCAUGAACGAAAGCGUGGGGAGCGAACAGGAUUAGAAACCCUAGUAGUCC